Molecule: long non-coding RNA, 6981 nt
Organism: Oryzias sinensis (Chinese medaka)
Lineage: Eukaryota; Metazoa; Chordata; Actinopteri; Beloniformes; Adrianichthyidae
Source: Ensembl
UUGCUGAAAUACAACUUAGAGAAGAAAUCAAGUGAGCUGCUGAUGAGGCCAUGAGGAUAAACCGAAAACUGACGUUUGCCAACCAAAAACAAGAGGCAACGAUUAUGUCUCUGAAAAAGGAGCUGGACGAGGUCAAUAACAAGCUUAUUAAGGUCAAGAUGACGUCAGUCCGCUAUGAGAAGACCCACAGUCAAGCAGAGGGACAGCAGCAAGUGCAGGAGCUGCAGCAGAGGCUCAUCAUGGUAAAACCCUCCAUAAAAUCAAACAUUUCAAACCCCAAACCAAAGUUGAAGACAAAAUGUGCUUCCUCUUUUUUUUCAAGGAAAAAGAAAUAAACAGAAAACUUGAGAAGGAAAAUUUAGCAGAAAGGGCAGAAAAGCAGGUAAGAAACUCAAAAAACAUAACUUUAUUCUCUUUAAGAAUUAUAGUUGAAUUUAGGAUUCAAUGGACUUUAAAGUUUCUGAGUGAAUCAUUUAAAAACCCACUCGGUUGAAAAUGGUGUUUUUGGUUUUUUUAACAUGUUCUCGUGUUGUUUUUCUGGUGAUGGAGAACAAAUAUAAAGAUAAUGAAGUCCAAAAGUGCCUUUUAUUUUAAUCGUUGAGAAUCAGGAGCAGGCAUCUGAAUCUAAACUGUACGACUAAAUAGCUCCAAUGUUGCUCUCUAUUGUUAUUGAACUGGUAAUGUUAGGUUGGGGGUGUGAGGGGCUUUAAGCUAGCGGGUGGGAGAGUAACGGGGAGGGAAAGGAAGGUGGGGUUGCUCUGCGCCAACGGGCCGCCCAAAACUCAGAGAUGAAUUUCUAAUCAUCUGCUGCCGCUCUACAGAAGGUAUGUCCUAGAAAACGGUGAAGGUUUUUGGGGAUUUAGGGUAAAAGUGGCCUCAAUAUAAACAAACAACCACUGAGAAUGUGUUUAAAAAAGCUUAAAAGAUGAGCGGAGGGGGUCUUUGAACCAAUUUCAACUAUUUUGUCUGUUCAUUUGUACAGGAGAUGCUGAGGUCUCUGCAGCGAACACAGGAGCUGCUGCUACGGCAAACACAGACAGUGAGAAGAGUAGAAAUGGAGCUACAGACACAAACGGAGAGGUUCCAGGCCCUUCAGCACAAGCACGAGGUGAUGCGUGAGCAAAGCAAGGCGAUGCAGGACAGGCUGGCCCAGCUGAGCGAGAGCUUCACGGCUUCCAAAAGCCGCUGGGACAAAGAGAAAGAUAUGUUUUUGGAUCAAAUCAAGAAUGAGCAGGAAGACCGACAAUCAGUAGAAAAAGCUCAUGAAGACCUUCAGCAGAAACAUUCUGAACUCUCCAAAAAGGCUAAGUGUCUGGUUCAUCGCACAGACAAAGAGGAGCUGUUUUCAGCAGAGGUGGAAGCCAAAGGUGAAAUCCCUGUUGAGUGCAUCCACAGCUCUGAGCGGCCUGACUGCAGUCUGCAGGACCUCCUGUCCUCUCAAGCAAAUGAGGGGAAUCAGAAGGAGACAGAAGCUGCUGAUACCGGAACAACUACAGAAAUGACAGAUAAACACCCGCAUUCACAACCAACAACUACAAUAGACGACCGGCUCCUCCAAAGUGAUGACCCAGUACCGUCCAGAGAGACUAGGACAACAAACAGUAUCAUCAACAGCUUUGAAGCAGGAGAACCAAAUCCUAGUUCAAAUUUGAUUCCAAAUGAUCCGAGUGAUGCUGCUGCUCUCCAGAGCAAUGUUAACUUUCAGACUGCAUCAAUUCGGAAGUGUGAGAGUCCAGAUAAAUUAGCACAUUUACAGACAAAUGAAGAACAUGACAAAGAAUUGGAGGAAAAUGAAGAAAAACCCAACAAACAGGAAGGCUGUAGCUUACACCAUCAGGACGAGGAAGACAUUCGUGAUGAAGAUGUGAACAAUGAAAGUGGUGUAGAAAAGAUAAGAGAUAAAGAGGCAACAGAACCACAGGGGCACAGAAACUCCGAAACACAAGGAAAUGAUCAACCAGAUGGAGACAUAAUGAAUGAAGUGGAAUGGAGAGGACAGACGGCCCAGCAUGCACCAGACCAAAAGAUGGUAGCUCAGGCCGGUACAGAUGUGACUGAGGACACAGUCCCACUGCAGGUCAAUGAGCCAAUGGCUGACGAGCCGCCUCGCUGUGAGCGCUCAGAGACUCCCUCUCAGAAAGUCACUGACAAUGAUUUUUGUCAUUUUAAUGAGGAGCACCAGGCUGAUCCGGAAGACCAUCUUCUUAGCUCAGAGGAGCCUCAGCCUCCGGGCCACGAUGCGGUCCAAACUUCAUGCGAGAAUUCUCCGUCACUUCACAAUCAGUCGGUUUGCCAGGAGUCUGACCAGCCUGCGAAUGAAAAUCCACAGAGGAAAGCAAUAGAUUUUCCUACCGAAUGUCAGGACAUUUCAACGUACUCACAUCUAAAUGUAACACCGUUAUCGGCUCACCUUCCCAUUGAAACGAGUCGAACAGAAGCUGGAGAUUUUUCAGACACUGAUUCCAUCGUGAAGCACGUCGACGAAGCUCAAGUUCAUCAGAAGUCUGUCAAAAUAAACCCAUCUAAAGCUGAACUUCAAAGCCCGUCUGAGGAUGCCGAUCAGAGGAAAGGUCCUUUCAAUGUGAAGGCAUGUGAAAACAGCACCUGUACAACUGUAAGCACAUCCGUUAGAACAUGCUGGUUAACAGAGGGGGCCGCGUACCACGACCCUGAAGCACAAACUGAACGAUAUGGAGAGCAAAUGACAAACGACACACCCAAAGACGCAGCGGAAAAAGAAACUCACCCAAAGGUUUCCAUCCAUUCCAGUCACGAGAGCAACAACUCACUGAAGAUCAGUGAUUCUUCUGUGGCCGGCAUGAAGACUUACAAUUCUUUAUUUGACUGGAACAAAGCUCGGAUUAAAACCUUGGGCACUCAAGAAAAGCCAGAUCUGCAUCACUUGAGACAGGGAGGCUUUUUUUCUGGACUAAAUUCCGUCGGAUCUGACGAGAUUCAGGCACGUCAGCCUGUCUCAGCAUCCCUGCUUAUCAAAAACAGGCAAAGCAAAGUUCCUCUGGUGAUGAUGAGAGCGUCGGACCUGCUCAGUGCCUCCAGUGGCUCUGCAGACACAGCUACCUCCAGGAAACGACAUGAGAGAGAGUGGGAAGCAAAAGGAAGGAUUUGCAGUGAAUCCUCGGCAGGAGAAACUAAGAGUACAGCUUCCAUCAGCCGUCUCCAAGAUGUUUCUGGAACUGUUGGCAAACUCCCACUGCAAAACGUACCAGAGUGUAGCAGAGCUUCCACCUCAGCUGCAGGCCUGAUUUCAGGACCAAAGUCGAACCCGUCCUUCUCUCUGGAGAUGGAGAACCAGCAGACAUUGUUUCGGGAACAGGUCUCCAAGAUCGAACGAUUCCUCAACGCAGAAAGACUCCGAACAUCUAAAAGACAACGAACCGACAACUGACCCAUCGUUGCUCGUACUCUUUAGUAGCUAAAAAUGUCGGCAACGUUUUAAAAGGUUUUAGUUUAAGUGUUUAGUUCUGACACACAUUUUAUCCUAGAAUUCUAUUUCUUAUUUGUGCCUCAGGUUCUAGUUUCUAAAAAUCCUUUGCAUAUGUUUAAAAGCAAGUUUGUUUUUUUGUGGCACAGUUUUCUAUAUGUCAGCUGAAAUAGAAAAUGCUUGUUCUUAUAGUAUAAAUGGUUAAUGUGAUUUCAUUGUUAAAUUAGAUGCAAAAAGUGUCAAAUUCACUCACACCAUAAGUUCAUAUCAAACUCUGAGUUCUGUAAACUGUUUCCCAGAUAUUUACUACGAAUACUGCAAGAAAAAUCUGUUUUCAGUUGUGAGUUUGACUUCAAAACUGAAGUUUACAAUUACUAAUUAUUUAUAGCUGAGUUAUUGGAAUGAAAUACUAGUUUACAUGUCAUUUCACGGCAUACAGCAGAUUAUACAGCACACUGUGAUUACAUACAAAGGCCAGGAACAAUUAACACCCUAAUUAAAGCACUAAUUGUGUCUCAGAGGGGCGCUAACUGUGGAGGCACCUUUGGUCUGCGCGGUGUUGUGUUCAUACAGCUGGCAGACAUUUGUGUUUAAACCACAACUGGUUCGUCUGCGUUUAACACUAAUUAACUAUAAUUUAGAGAAAGAACAAUUAACAGUAAACAUUCAGCUUAAUUUACAGAAAUCAAUUAGUGAACAUUAAUUAACGCACUUUAACGGGCCUCUCAUUGACUUUAUGUCCCCUGAGUGGAACAUAAAGAUUAAGCAGCAGCUUGCCGUACACCUGGAUUACUUUGAUAUUUACCGUUUGGAGGUUUCUGUACACUUUUAUGCAUUCAUUCACUAAAUCAUCUCAAUUUUAGAUGAAUGCUAGUGAAUUCUAAAUGGAUAAAGUAAGAAUAAAUCAAUACAGUUGCUACAAAACCAUAAUAAAGUUAUUUAAACUUAACAAAAAACAUAUUACAAUCAUAUUUAUUCUUCACACGACAAUAACUCAUUCUUUCAUAUUUACAUCUCGUACAAACUCUUCUGAUUGCAGCUCAUGCUUUGCAACUGAAAUACAUAUAUGGAAAAUACCUUACAGAUAAGUUAGGAAAUGUUUGUCCUUGUCAACGACAGUGAAGCUGCAGCAUGAGGAAGUAAAAGCGGAGUAUUUCUUCAGUUAUAUUACAGUAAAGUAAAAUUUAGUUUUAAUAAACGAAUUACUAUAUUUGUCUAAAUAUUCAAAUAAUAGUGUCAUAAUAAGGUCAACCAAACUCAACACUAUAGGUGUAGAAACAUUUCACUUUGAUAGCAUUAAAAGAAAUAUAGGAGUUUGGGACAAUAGGAUCCAAAGCUACUGGUUUUUUAAAAAAGGACACCAACAAUAGAAUAAAAUUUUGCUUAAAAACCAGAGCAUCUACAGUGGACCCUGUUAGCCUGAAGAGACAAAAACUCCACCCCCUUUCCUAGUUUGAGCUUUCACAAAAAUCCUCUUCUAAUUUUAAGGACGCAGACUUUAAUGGCAGCACAGGGUCUGCGUUUGAUCCAUCUUACUACACUUACUGAUAAUGAAUAUGCUCGAAUGUUAAUGUCCUCAUAAAGAAAUCCGGAGCAGUUGAUGACUUAGACCAUUGCUGCUGACCCUUAUCCUCUCCAGGAGGAGGGGAGGAGAGGUGGAGGAGGUGCAAAAUAUAGUGGAGUUAAUUUUACUACACUUGUGCACACAAACACAUACAGGUUCUGUAUUUUCGCAGUUUCGGUUUCUCCUCUGGCUUUAUUGCCAACACCCACACACUCCCCUCAUAUAAAGUGUUGGCUCUUUGAAACAGCCAAUUACCCUCCAGCUGGGGAGGAUACCUGCUUUUAAUUACUGCUCAUGGUUUUAUAUGGAGAGUAAAUAAAGAGAUCGCUGACAUUCACAUUCCAUCGAUGCGUCUCCAGGAGCUACUGCAGUGUUUAGGUUUUAUUCCACUUCUAAUCCUUCAUAGAUAGCAAAACCUUUUUGCCUCGUCAUUGUAAAAAAAAUAGUAUAAAUACUGAAAUUGGUUUUAGUUGAAGUCCUCUCAGGUAUACUUUUAGGUGUUUCCUGCUUUUGCUUCAGUUUAAUUCUGUUGAAAUAACAUCAUGUUUUUUGGACUAUAAGUCGCUCCAGAGUAUAGGACUCAAAACAAAGCAUAAUAAAGAAGAAAAAAUAAUAUACAAGUCACACUUUUGGGAAAUGUAUUUAAAAUAAAUGUGAGCCUAUUUAUUAAAAAAACGAAAACAUAUAUAAGUCGCACCACCGGCCAAACUAUGCAAAAGAGGAUGACCUUUACACACAAAAAAGGAUUCAAACAACAGUGAAAAGUCAUCCUUUCUUCAGACGGAAGAACAGGAAGAGACUUCCAUCAGAACGAGGCCCAGAAAAAGGUUCGGUUUAUCCACUAGCACUGGGUGGGAUUAGUGAGGACAAGAUAGAGACAGAAACACCGGGACAUCUGAUACAAGGCAAAGGAGCAAGUUAUCAUCUGCAGAAAUUCGGUUGCUUUCCAAGUGAUAUGGGAGGACUUCCGGUUCCAGUUGACUUCCGGUUCUGGAUGUUAAUGUCUGCAGCCAAGUCCUCUUGACGCUCUGCCCCAUCCAGGUUACAGAUCCCACAUUAACUUCUUCCUCAGGUCAUGGAAGACCGGUGACUCAUCAGUGCCUGGCCGUGAAAUCCUGAGAUUAUUCCAGAACACCUGUGUGUGUUUCUCUACUCAGUGCCAUUAGAGACUCUUUCCUGCUCUAAUCUGAGUGUGGUUCUAGUUUGUCCACUACAGUAAAGGAGAGUUAUAUGUCCAAUUUCUACUGGUUGCUCUUCAUUUAAAUGUAAGGUAGGACCAGUAGAAAGCACAACCUAUUUGACAUCAAUGUAUGAAAGCCAAUGACUUUAUCCAGUGCUGUUAUAAGAAAGCAAUACGGUAAGUCUUCUCUGUGAUGAACUCAACUUUAUGCACUGACAUGAUUCACAUGGCAAACAUGCAGAAAUGGAAAAUAACUUUACACACACCCCCACCCACCGUAAGCUUCUUCAUCACAAGCAGGGGCCCGAACAGCAAAGAAAAAUAGACCAAGUCGCAAGUUUGAAUUCAUCCCUGAUUUACGACUCAAUUUUAUUGAAAUUCUGUACAUGAGAAGGGAGGAAGGCAAUAUAUUUGCCAAUCCUCCAGCUAAAUGGGUUUCACCACCUCUAAACAAUGUUGAAUAUCCUGAGGUUAUGGGGCCAUGUUUUGUCAUAUUAUACCUCUUUGCCUCAAAAGCCAUCACAGUAAAUCUAGCCGGGAAGUCGCAUUAAACAGUGCAGGAGAUGUCAGCUGAGACGGAGGCUGAGUGCAAUCCUGGCACUCCGAGAGGACUCUGCAGUCUCAAAGUGAAGAAGUGCAGCUGCUCCUUUAGCCCUGUAAAAAUACUUAAGGGAGCAGAUGAUUAGAAGAAGGACUCCACACUCAAACAGACUCGGUUUGCUCUGUUGAGAUAUACUUGCUGACAUUAAUGGUUGAAUAGAUAUGAGUUUGUUUUUUUAUUCAAAACUAUUAAAA